This is a long non-coding RNA of Tupaia belangeri chinensis (Chinese tree shrew), 1543 nucleotides long. RefSeq lists it as uncharacterized. The transcript is spliced from 7 exons. Lineage: Eukaryota; Metazoa; Chordata; Mammalia; Scandentia; Tupaiidae. The record is from RefSeq and is a predicted model, not a curated record.
UCUCUCUGGGGCAGCUGGGGGAAUUUGUGCGAAUUGAAGAAAAUCUUAGAUCAGCUUCCUUACACCUUUAUACUGAUAGAGCAGAAGUCAGGUUAAGGUUCAGGAGUAAUGGAGUGUUUGAGAAAUGACUGUGAUUGCUCAAUUGACUUGGCACUGGCCACAGUAGGGCUAAGGGGUCCCUCUGCCUUGCUUAGAGAGAGAAGUGAUGCAUGCUGUGUGGAUAGAGUCACCUCAGGUCCUUCUGGCUUCAGCAACUUCCCAUGUGAAAAAAGAGGCUGUGACAGAAAUCCAAACUGAGGGGACAGAUGCUGGUGCAGUGGUAAUGCAACACUCUGAAGGUUGUCCCCAUGGGAAGUUUCCAGGUUCACAUCCAGAGACUUCCCUGAACACGGCAGGCAUGAGAAAGCCCAUGAUCUAAGGCCAGCAGAAAACUUUAUCUUCUUCUGACAGAAAACAUGGACUUGACUAAGGAAGGAGGAGUUUCUCACGGCCGGAUAAUAUGGCCACCCUCUGUCAUGGCAAGGGACCCUUUCUGCUGGCAUUCGAGCUUUCAGAUGGUGUGCUUGGGUGCUCCUCAGUGGUACUGGGAAGACAGAUGCAGACUGUCCUGGUGGUCUCAGGAUUUCUUCCUCAUGGGGUGAGGGCUGGUGAAUGGAGCCCUGGAAGCUGAUGAGAAGAAAAAACAAACAUUUUAAAUGUCCCAAGGAACAGCUAAGACCACAUGACUGAGGUCACAAGCCCAUUCCAGUGCCAAUAUCGCUGGACAGAUGGAUGUGAUGCCCAGCCUGGCCAGUCUGAUUCUUGUGCUCACCCUCGUGGCCAGAGAGUUGCAGAGAAUGCAAGGAAGGAUGAACAACCAAAUAAUGAACGGGAGAAAAGGGUACCUCAACAACAAUUCAACCCAGGAAGAGAAUCUGCUUCUUUGUUAUGUUCUAUUAUGGGACCAUGAACUGAACACAAGAAUAUGAAGGCAAUCUGAUGACUGUUAGGAGUAAUAAAGAACAAUAAAGAACAAUUACCCUGAUCAACCUUCUAAGACACCACUCUCUGCUGAAGGCCAACAGGACCCAGCUCCCAACUACCAAUUUUACUUCAACCUCCUGACACGACUGUGUGGAGACAGAGACAUCAAGAGAGAGAGACAUCCUUUACAGGUUCUUCCUGCCAUUAUCUGCUGUCCUCAGUCAGCCAGGACCACAGGACGUGUGUGUGCAUGCCUUGCAUGUCCAUGUCCAGGGAGACCACAGGAUGUGAACCUGGGACCUUCCUGGGUGGCACAGUGGAGCACUGUGUUCCUACUGCACCACUGCAACUGGCCUUGACCUUUAUCAUUUUAUUUCAAACCUAUUCUAGAGUCUCUUACUGAGUAUCUCAAGUUUGUCCUCUGGAAUGCUGAUUUGACAUAAAUUUAACUAAUUAUGCAAUUGUGAGAUUGCAGAAUGGAAGUAAAGGUCAAAAGUUUAUUUAGGGUGGGUAGGUGGUGUGGCAGUUAGGGUGGCUGGAUCCCACAUAGCCAGAUGAGUGGUGUGAGUCCCAGACUCAG